GACGAACGCUGGCGGCGUGCCUAAUACAUGCAAGUUGAGCGCUGAAGGUUGGUACUUGUACCAACUGGAUGAGCAGCGAACGGGUGAGUAACGCGUGGGGAAUCUGCCUUUGAGCGGGGGACAACAUUUGGAAACGAAUGCUAAUACCGCAUAAAAACUUUAAACACAAGUUUUAAGUUUGAAAGAUGCAAUUGCAUCACUCAAAGAUGACCCCGCGUUGUAUUAGCUAGUUGGUGAGGUAAAGGCUCACCAAGGCGAUGAUACAUAGCCGACCUGAGAGGGUGAUCGGCCACAUUGGGACUGAGACACGGCCCAAACUCCUACGGGAGGCAGCAGUAGGGAAUCUUCGGCAAUGGACGAAAGUCUGACCGAGCAACGCCGCGUGAGUGAAGAAGGUUUUCGGGUCGUAAAACUCUGUUGGUAGAGAAGAACGUUGGUGAGAGUGGAAAGCUCAUCAAGUGACGGUAACUACCCAGAAAGGGACGGCUAACUACGUG
This 497-nucleotide ribosomal RNA is filed under the name uncultured bacterium. RNAcentral describes it as "partial 16S ribosomal RNA". It matches the Rfam family "Bacterial small subunit ribosomal RNA", at positions 28 to 507 of the family's 1533-position model. The record is from RNAcentral.